Molecule: long non-coding RNA, 740 nt
Filed under: Gossypium barbadense (sea-island cotton)
Lineage: Eukaryota; Viridiplantae; Streptophyta; Magnoliopsida; Malvales; Malvaceae
Description: long non-coding RNA (GBAR_LNC015183)
Source: RNAcentral
UUGGUAAGGGAUAAUCUAAUUCGAUUUGAUCAUAAAAAGUCUACAACCCGAACAUGUCAAACUCGAAACUUGAAAUUGACCUCCAAAAUCACUCGAAACCCAAAACGAUCUGAACUCAAAAUAACCUUAGCACAUAACUUAAAAUGACCUGAACAAAACUUAAAAUGAUUAGAAUAUUAAAUGAUCAGACUCGAAAAACCCAAACCUAAAACCUAAAUAACCUAAACUCAAAAUAACAUGAACCCAAAAUGUUCAAAAUUAACUUUAACCCGAAAGAUCUCAACCGGAAUGAUUAGAAAACCUUAAAAUUUAAAUGGAUUCUAUCUAGAUUGACUAGACUCAAAACCAUGACAUUCUCAACUUACAAUUAGAAGCGUGCAUAAGUUUAGCAACUAGGUUGACUUAAUUCUUUUUAGACAAGGUUUAGGUUUAUAUUUUUCAAAUCCGGCCUAGUUCAAUCAUUUUUAACUUAAAGAAUAAAAUAGACUAUUUGAGUGGAUCUAAACAAACUAAGCUUAAACUCGAGUUUAUAAAUUUUUUGAAAUCGGACUUUAAAUUAGUCUAACUCGAUUCAUAAACGCAUAUUUGGACCCUAUUAUUAAUUUUCAAUGUAUUAAAUAUGUUUGCAGAGUGUACCAACCCACGGUGUCGCUUCAGGAAUGAGUGCCGUCGGAGGUGUUGUAAUGGAGAUCGUAAUCACUUUCGCCUUAGUCUACACCGUCUACGCCACCGCAGCUGAU